RNAcentral lists this ribosomal RNA (468 nucleotides) under uncultured bacterium. RNAcentral describes it as "partial 16S ribosomal RNA". It matches the Rfam family "Bacterial small subunit ribosomal RNA", at positions 28 to 507 of the family's 1533-position model. The record is from RNAcentral.
GACGAACGCUGGCGGCGUGCUUAACACAUGCAAGUCGAACGGAAAGGCCCUGCUUUUGUGGGGUGCUCGAGUGGCGAACGGGUGAGUAACACGUGAGUGACCUGCCCUUGACUUUGGGAUAACUUCAGGAAACUGGGGCUAAUACCGGAUAGGAGCUCCUGCUGCAUGGUGGGGGUUGGAAAGUUUCGGCGGUUGGGGAUGGACUCGCGGCUUAUCAGCUUGUUGGUGGGGUAGUGGCUUACCAAGGCUUUGACGGGUAGCCGGCCUGAGAGGGUGACCGGCCACAUUGGGACUGAGAUACGGCCCAGACUCCUACGGGAGGCAGCAGUGGGGAAUAUUGCACAAUGGGCGGAAGCCUAAUGCAGCAACGCCGCGUGCGGGAUGACGGCCUUCGGGUUGUAAACCGCUUUCGCCUGUGACGAAGCGUGAGUGACGGUAAUGGGUAAAGAAGCACCGGCUAACUACGUG